GCGAGUGAAGCGGCAACAGCUCAAAUUUGAAAGCUGGCUUAGGCCCGCAUUGUAAUUUGCAGAGGAUGCUUCUGGCGAGGUGCCUUCCGAGUUCCCUGGAACGGGACGCCAUAGAGGGUGAGAGCCCCGUAUGGAUGGACACCAGACCUGUGUGAAGCUCCUUCAACGAGUCGAGUAGUUUGGGAAUGCUGCUCUAAAUGGGAGGUAAAUCUCUUCUAAAGCUAAAUAUUGGCCAGAGACCGAUAGCGCACAAGUAGAGUGAUCGAAAGAUGAAAAGCACCUUGAAAAGGGGGUUAAACAGUACGUGAAAUUGUUGAAAGGGAAGCGCUUGUGACCAGACUUGCGCCGGGCAGCUCAUCAGGGGUUCUCCCCUGUGCACUCUGCCCGGCUCAGGCCAGCAUCGGUUCUUGUGGGAGGAUAAGAACGGUAGGAACGUGGCCCCCCUCCGGGGGGGUGUUAUAGCCUGCCGUACGAUACUCCCGUGGGGACCGAGGUUCGCGCUCCGCAAGGAUGC
Molecule: ribosomal RNA, 514 nt
Filed under: Cytospora elaeagnicola
Lineage: Eukaryota; Fungi; Ascomycota; Sordariomycetes; Diaporthales; Cytosporaceae
Description: eukaryotic LSU rRNA
Rfam family: Eukaryotic large subunit ribosomal RNA
Source: RNAcentral